CGGGGCGUGGCGCAGUCCGGUAGCGCACUCGCCUGGGGGGCGAGGGGUCGCAGGUUCAAGUCCUGCCGUCCCGA
This 74-nucleotide transfer RNA is filed under the name Hirschia baltica ATCC 49814. It matches the Rfam family "tRNA". From Rfam's summary of the family: Transfer RNA (tRNA) molecules are approximately 80 nucleotides in length. Their secondary structure includes four short double-helical elements and three loops (D, anti-codon, and T loops). Lineage: Bacteria; Pseudomonadati; Pseudomonadota; Alphaproteobacteria; Hyphomonadales; Hyphomonadaceae. The record is from Rfam by way of RNAcentral.